AACGAACGCUGGCGGCAUGCCUAACACAUGCAAGUCGAACGAGACCUUCGGGUCUAGUGGCGCACGGGUGCGUAACGCGUGGGAACCUGCCCUUAGGUUCGGAAUAACUCCCCGAAAGGGGUGCUAAUACCGGAUAAUGUCUUCGGACCAAAGAUUUAUCGCCUUUGGAUGGGCCCGCGUUGGAUUAGCUAGUUGGUAGGGUAAAAGCCUACCAAGGCGACGAUCCAUAGCUGGUCUGAGAGGAUGAUCAGCCACACUGGGACUGAGACACGGCCCAGACUCCUACGGGAGGCAGCAGUGGGGAAUAUUGGACAAUGGGCGAAAGCCUGAUCCAGCAAUGCCGCGUGAGUGAUGAAGGCCUUAGGGUUGUAAAGCUCUUUGACCCGGGAUGAUAAUGACAGUACCGGGAGAAUAAGCUCCGGCUAACUCCGUG
This 433-nucleotide ribosomal RNA is filed under the name uncultured bacterium. RNAcentral's name for it is "partial 16S ribosomal RNA". It matches the Rfam family "Bacterial small subunit ribosomal RNA", at positions 29 to 507 of the family's 1533-position model. The record is from RNAcentral.